Molecule: ribosomal RNA, 449 nt
Filed under: uncultured bacterium
Lineage: Bacteria
Description: bacterial SSU rRNA
Rfam family: Bacterial small subunit ribosomal RNA
Source: RNAcentral
UGGGGAAUCUUGCGCAAUGGGCGAAAGCCUGACGCAGCGACGCCGCGUGUGGGAUGAAGGUCUUCGGAUUGUAAACCACUGUCGGGAGGGACGAAGCUCUGACGGUACCUCCAAAGGAAGCACCGGCUAACUCUGUGCCAGCAGCCGCGGUAAUACAGAGGGUGCGAGCGUUGUCCGGAAUCACUGGGCGUAAAGGGCGCGUAGGCGGCCUGGUAAGUAGGGGGUGAAAUCUCAUGGCUCAACUGUGAGGCUGCCUUCUAGACUGCUGGGCUUGAGCACGGUAGAGGCUGGUGGAAUUCCCGGUGUAGCGGUGGAAUGCGUAGAGAUCGGGAGGAACAUCGGUGGCGAAGGCGGCCAGCUGGGCCGUUGCUGACGCUGAGGCGCGAAAGCGUGGGGAGCAAACAGGAUUAGAUACCCUUGUAGUCCCUGAGCGGGCUGGCAAGGCGCAU